CUCUGCUCCCCCAUCCGCCACGGUAGCGUGGUGCUUAAGCACAGAGGCAACGUAUAGCAAUGAGUAGCGAACGUGACCUUGGAAUGCGCAGAAGCCUGCGCGUUGCGCAUCAGGCAGCCUACGUUGCCUUCCGCUCGCGAAUCUCAGACAUGUUACACUGAACGUCCUAUAGGAGGAAAGGGGAACGAGUAGCCUCUGUAUUCAGGGUGAAGAGCCACCUUCGACCUACUUGCUGAGGCGAUAUGAUCCUCCGAGACGUUUGUAAUCACCAACAACUCCACUCGGCAUCACAAAAUAGAAUACCACAAUAUAUUUUAACCACGCUGACGUCUUCAAAUCUCAGGGUCGAAGAAGUAACAACAAAAUUUUCUAGGCUCCCAUAUUCCUCCAGACCGUGCAGCAAGGACAGAAGGAUGGCCAAUCUUUGCAAGCGUAAGUUGUAUCCGAUUCAGAGGCUGAAAAACAUGUCAUCAAGGACACAUAAGAAAGUUUAAGCAGCAUUUAGAAAAGUCCCUGAAUCUCUGUAUAUCUGCAUGUUUCCCGUGUACUUCAUUUUCUCUACAACAAUAACAAGUCCAUUUUAACGUCUGGAUGUUGCCUACGUCGGCAUUCAUUUGCUCUUCGUUUUACGACGCACAAAUUUGCUUUCCCUGAACCCAUUCGUUUUUCGCUGCUUAAUAUUCAGUAUUGGUCCUUGGCGCGGGAUAGCAAUCCCAGGAGUGCAACUCUCCGUCCCAAAGCGGAGAGUUGAUUCACUACCAUUGGCAGUUCUUAGAAACGUAAACACUCUGAACCAGUCAAAAUGAUGCAACCAACGAGCUGUAUUUCGCUCCAAACACUUCCUACGUUCCGACGCCCAAACUCGCCUUGCCGGCGUUAACAAAGACCUCGAUGACAUUCUUCUGGGUACGA
Molecule: long non-coding RNA, 912 nt
Organism: Zootermopsis nevadensis
Lineage: Eukaryota; Metazoa; Arthropoda; Insecta; Blattodea; Termopsidae
Source: RefSeq, a predicted model, not a curated record